AUGAGUUGUGAUGGGGUUCGAUGCUGGCAGCCAAUUUUUGGAUGCAUGUGCUUGCCCUAACAAUCAUCUUCCAAACACCUGUGCACAUUUUUGAGGGAGUUUUGAGUUGAUUGCCGUUUUUGGGUGAUUUUCUUGCACUCCCUUAAAUCAAUUAUACGCUAUUAACAAUGUUGAACGUGCUCUGUGCCGCGAGGCCAUUGAUAUAAUA
RNAcentral lists this unclassified non-coding RNA (208 nucleotides) under uncultured Clavulina. RNAcentral describes it as "sequence contains ITS1". Lineage: Eukaryota; Fungi; Basidiomycota; Agaricomycetes; Cantharellales; Hydnaceae. The record is from RNAcentral.